Molecule: ribosomal RNA, 517 nt
Filed under: uncultured bacterium
Lineage: Bacteria
Description: bacterial SSU rRNA
Rfam family: Bacterial small subunit ribosomal RNA
Source: RNAcentral
AGAGUUUGAUCCUGGCUCAGGAUGAACGCUGGCGGCGUGCCUAAUACAUGCAAGUCGAGCGAACAGACGAGGAGCUUGCUCCUCUGACGUUAGCGGCGGACGGGUGAGUAACACGUGGGUAACCUACCUAUAAGACUGGGAUAACUUCGGGAAACCGGAGCUAAUACCGGAUAAUAUUUCGAACUGCAUGGUUCGAUAGUGAAAGAUGGCUUUGCUAUCACUUAUAGAUGGACCUGCGCCGUAUUAGCUAGUUGGUAAGGUAACGGCUUACCAAGGCAACGAUACGUAGCCGACCUGAGAGGGUGAUCGGCCACACUGGAACUGAGACACGGUCCAGACUCCUACGGGAGGCAGCAGUAGGGAAUCUUCCGCAAUGGGCGAAAGCCUGACGGAGCAACGCCGCGUGAGUGAUGAAGGUCUUCGGAUCGUAAAACUCUGUUAUUAGGGAAGAACAAACGUGUAAGUAACUGUGCACGUCUUGACGGUACCUAAUCAGAAAGCCACGGCUAACUACGUG